RNAcentral lists this unclassified non-coding RNA (253 nucleotides) under uncultured Parcubacteria group bacterium. RNAcentral describes it as "contains 16S-23S intergenic spacer region". It matches the Rfam family "Bacterial small subunit ribosomal RNA", at positions 524 to 776 of the family's 1533-position model. The record is from RNAcentral.
UACGAGUGCCCCAAGCGUUACCCGGUGUCACUGGGCGUAAAGCGUGUCUAGGUGGUUUAGUUAGUCUUUCGUUAAAGACACAGGCUUAACCUGUGGAGUGCGGAAGAAACGGCUAAACUAGAGGAUGUGAGAGGUAAGCGGAACUCACGGUGUAGGGGUGAAAUCCGUUGAUAUCGUGGGGAACACCAAAGGCGAAGGCAGCUUACUGGCGCAUUCCUGACACUCAAACACGAAAGCGUGGGUAGCGAAUGGG